UAGGGAAUCUUCCACAAUGGACGCAAGUCUGAUGGAGCAACGCCGCGUGAGUGAAGAAGGUUUUCGGAUCGUAAAGCUCUGUUGUUGGUGAAGAAGGAUAGAGGUAGUAACUGGCCUUUAUUUGACGGUAAUCAACCAGAAAGUCACGGCUAACUACGUGCCAGCAGCCGCGGUAAUACGUAGGUGGCAAGCGUUGUCCGGAUUUAUUGGGCGUAAAGCGAGCGCAGGCGGAAGAAUAAGUCUGAUGUGAAAGCCCUCGGCUUAACCGAGGAACGGCAUCGGAAACUGUUUUUCUUGAGUGCAGAAGAGGAGAGUGGAAUUCCAUGUGGAGCGGUGGAAUGCGUAGAUAUAUGGAAGAACACCAGUGGCGAAGGCGACUCUCUGGUCUGCAACUGACGCUGAGGCUCGAAAGCAUGGGUAGCGAACAGG
Molecule: ribosomal RNA, 429 nt
Filed under: bacterium
Lineage: Bacteria
Description: partial 16S ribosomal RNA
Rfam family: Bacterial small subunit ribosomal RNA
Source: RNAcentral